Molecule: ribosomal RNA, 650 nt
Filed under: uncultured bacterium
Lineage: Bacteria
Description: bacterial SSU rRNA
Rfam family: Bacterial small subunit ribosomal RNA
Source: RNAcentral
GAGUAACACGUGGGUAACCUGCCCAUCAGAGGGGGAUAACACUUGGAAACAGGUGCUAAUACCGCAUAAUAGUCGACACCGCAUGGUGUUGAUUUGAAAGACGCUUUCGGGUGUUACUGAUGGAUGGACCCGCGGUGCAUUAGCUAGUUGGUGAGGUAACGGCUCACCAAGGCGAUGAUGCAUAGCCGACCUGAGAGGGUGAUCGGCCACACUGGGACUGAGACACGGCCCAGACUCCUACGGGAGGCAGCAGUAGGGAAUCUUCGGCAAUGGACGAAAGUCUGACCGAGCAACGCCGCGUGAGUGAAGAAGGUUUUCGGAUCGUAAAACUCUGUUGUUAGAGAAGAACAAGUAGGAGAGUAACCGCUCUUACCUUGACGGUAUCUAACCAGAAAGCCACGGCUAACUACGUGCCAGCAGCCGCGGUAAUACGUAGGUGGCAAGCGUUGUCCGGAUUUAUUGGGCGUAAAGCGAGCGCAGGCGGUUUCUUAAGUCUGAUGUGAAAGCCCCCGGCUCAACCGGGGAGGGUCAUUGGAAACUGGGAGACUUGAGUGCARAAGARGAGAGUGGAAUUCCAUGUGUAGCGGUGAAAUGCGUARAUAUAUGGAGGAACACCAGUGGCGAAGGCGACUCUCUGGUCUGUAACUGAC